Molecule: ribosomal RNA, 424 nt
Filed under: uncultured bacterium
Lineage: Bacteria
Description: bacterial SSU rRNA
Rfam family: Bacterial small subunit ribosomal RNA
Source: RNAcentral
UGAGGAAUAUUGGACAAUGGGUGAAAGCCUGAUCCAGCCAUCCCGCGUGAAGGAUGACGGUCCUAUGGAUUGUAAACUUCUUUUGUACAGGAAUAAACCUACUCUCGUGAGAGUAGCUGAAGGUACUGUACGAAUAAGCACCGGCUAACUCCGUGCCAGCAGCCGCGGUAAUACGGAGGGUGCAAGCGUUAUCCGGAUUUAUUGGGUUUAAAGGGUCCGUAGGCGGACCCGUAAGUCAGUGGUGAAAUCUCAUAGCUCAACUAUGAAACUGCCAUUGAUACUGCGGGUCUUGAGUAAAUUUGAAGUGGCUGGAAUAAGUAGUGUAGCGGUGAAAUGCAUAGAUAUUACUUAGAACACCAAUUGCGAAGGCAGGUCACUAAGAUUUAACUGACGCUGAGGGACGAAAGCGUGGGUAGCGAACAGG